Molecule: ribosomal RNA, 2889 nt
Filed under: Pseudomonas sp. Ost2
Lineage: Bacteria; Pseudomonadati; Pseudomonadota; Gammaproteobacteria; Pseudomonadales; Pseudomonadaceae
Description: 23S ribosomal RNA
Rfam family: Bacterial large subunit ribosomal RNA
Source: RNAcentral
UCAAGUGAAGAAGCGCAUACGGUGGAUGCCUUGGCAGUCAGAGGCGAUGAAAGACGUGGUAGCCUGCGAAAAGCUUCGGGGAGUCGGCAAACAGACUUUGAUCCGGAGAUGUCUGAAUGGGGGAACCCAGCCAUCAUAAGAUGGUUAUCUUGUACUGAAUACAUAGGUGCAAGAGGCGAACCAGGGGAACUGAAACAUCUAAGUACCCUGAGGAAAAGAAAUCAACCGAGAUUCCCUUAGUAGUGGCGAGCGAACGGGGACUAGCCCUUAAGUGGCUUUGAGAUUAGCGGAACGCUCUGGAAAGUGCGGCCAUAGUGGGUGAUAGCCCUGUACGCGAAAAUCUCUUGGUCAUGAAAUCGAGUAGGACGGGGCACGAGAAACCUUGUCUGAAUAUGGGGGGACCAUCCUCCAAGGCUAAAUACUACUGACUGACCGAUAGUGAACUAGUACCGUGAGGGAAAGGCGAAAAGAACCCCGGAGAGGGGAGUGAAAUAGAUCCUGAAACCGUAUGCGUACAAGCAGUGGGAGCCCACUUUGUUGGGUGACUGCGUACCUUUUGUAUAAUGGGUCAGCGACUUAUUUUCAGUGGCGAGCUUAACCGAAUAGGGGAGGCGUAGCGAAAGCGAGUCUUAAUAGGGCGUCUAGUCGCUGGGAAUAGACCCGAAACCGGGCGAUCUAUCCAUGGGCAGGUUGAAGGUUAGGUAACACUGACUGGAGGACCGAACCGACUACCGUUGAAAAGUUAGCGGAUGACCUGUGGAUCGGAGUGAAAGGCUAAUCAAGCUCGGAGAUAGCUGGUUCUCCUCGAAAGCUAUUUAGGUAGCGCCUCAUGUAUCACUGUAGGGGGUAGAGCACUGUUUCGGCUAGGGGGUCAUCCCGACUUACCAAACCGAUGCAAACUCCGAAUACCUACAAGUGCCGAGCAUGGGAGACACACGGCGGGUGCUAACGUCCGUCGUGAAAAGGGAAACAACCCAGACCGUCAGCUAAGGUCCCAAAGUCAUGGUUAAGUGGGAAACGAUGUGGGAAGGCUUAGACAGCUAGGAGGUUGGCUUAGAAGCAGCCACCCUUUAAAGAAAGCGUAAUAGCUCACUAGUCGAGUCGGCCUGCGCGGAAGAUGUAACGGGGCUCAAACCAUGCACCGAAGCUACGGGUAUCACUUAGGUGAUGCGGUAGAGGAGCGUUCUGUAAGCCUGUGAAGGUGAGUUGAGAAGCUUGCUGGAGGUAUCAGAAGUGCGAAUGCUGACAUGAGUAACGACAAUGGGUGUGAAAAACACCCACGCCGAAAGACCAAGGUUUCCUGCGCAACGUUAAUCGACGCAGGGUUAGUCGGUCCCUAAGGCGAGGCUGAAAAGCGUAGUCGAUGGAAAACAGGUUAAUAUUCCUGUACUUCUGGUUAUUGCGAUGGAGGGACGGAGAAGGCUAGGCCAGCUUGGCGUUGGUUGUCCAAGUUUAAGGUGGUAGGCUGGAAUCUUAGGUAAAUCCGGGAUUCCAAGGCCGAGAGCUGAUGACGAGUGUUCUUUUAGAACACGAAGUGGUUGAUGCCAUGCUUCCAAGAAAAGCUUCUAAGCUUCAGAUAACCAGGAACCGUACCCCAAACCGACACAGGUGGUUGGGUAGAGAAUACCAAGGCGCUUGAGAGAACUCGGGUGAAGGAACUAGGCAAAAUGGCACCGUAACUUCGGGAGAAGGUGCGCCGGUGAGGGUGAAGGACUUGCUCCGUAAGCUCAUGCCGGUCGAAGAUACCAGGCCGCUGCGACUGUUUAUUAAAAACACAGCACUCUGCAAACACGAAAGUGGACGUAUAGGGUGUGACGCCUGCCCGGUGCCGGAAGGUUAAUUGAUGGGGUUAGCUAACGCGAAGCUCUUGAUCGAAGCCCCGGUAAACGGCGGCCGUAACUAUAACGGUCCUAAGGUAGCGAAAUUCCUUGUCGGGUAAGUUCCGACCUGCACGAAUGGCGUAACGAUGGCGGCGCUGUCUCCACCCGAGACUCAGUGAAAUUGAAAUCGCUGUGAAGAUGCAGUGUAUCCGCGGCUAGACGGAAAGACCCCGUGAACCUUUACUAUAGCUUUGCACUGGACUUUGAAUUUGCUUGUGUAGGAUAGGUGGGAGGCUUUGAAGCGUGGACGCCAGUUCGCGUGGAGCCAUCCUUGAAAUACCACCCUGGCAACUUUGAGGUUCUAACUCAGGUCCGUUAUCCGGAUCGAGGACAGUGUAUGGUGGGUAGUUUGACUGGGGCGGUCUCCUCCUAAAGAGUAACGGAGGAGUACGAAGGUGCGCUCAGACCGGUCGGAAAUCGGUCGUAGAGUAUAAAGGCAAAAGCGCGCUUGACUGCGAGACAGACACGUCGAGCAGGUACGAAAGUAGGUCUUAGUGAUCCGGUGGUUCUGUAUGGAAGGGCCAUCGCUCAACGGAUAAAAGGUACUCCGGGGAUAACAGGCUGAUACCGCCCAAGAGUUCAUAUCGACGGCGGUGUUUGGCACCUCGAUGUCGGCUCAUCACAUCCUGGGGCUGAAGCCGGUCCCAAGGGUAUGGCUGUUCGCCAUUUAAAGUGGUACGCGAGCUGGGUUUAGAACGUCGUGAGACAGUUCGGUCCCUAUCUGCCGUGGACGUUUGAGAUUUGAGAGGGGCUGCUCCUAGUACGAGAGGACCGGAGUGGACGAACCUCUGGUGUUCCGGUUGUCACGCCAGUGGCAUUGCCGGGUAGCUAUGUUCGGAAAAGAUAACCGCUGAAAGCAUCUAAGCGGGAAACUUGCCUCAAGAUGAGAUCUCACUGGAACCUUGAGUUCCCUGAAGGGCCGUCGAAGACUACGACGUUGAUAGGCAGGGUGUGUAAGCGCUGUGAGGCGUUGAGCUAACCUGUACUAAUUGCCCGUGAGGCUUGACCA